This is a non-coding RNA of Penaeus vannamei (Pacific white shrimp), 146 nucleotides long. The record is from RefSeq and is a predicted model, not a curated record. NCBI's taxonomy places the organism in Eukaryota, Metazoa, Arthropoda, Malacostraca, Decapoda, Penaeidae.
UUCGCGGACGAUUUCACAUCACCAGUGGUAGCUAUCCUUGAUCACACCAUGUUCACUUGGCUGAUGCUCUCCUGCCUCUUAGGCUUCUCCCUGGCUGAGGUUCAGGAUUACCAAAUAUGUUACAAGGGAAACAGCGCGCUGAAAAC